Molecule: ribosomal RNA, 403 nt
Filed under: uncultured bacterium
Lineage: Bacteria
Description: partial 16S ribosomal RNA
Rfam family: Bacterial small subunit ribosomal RNA
Source: RNAcentral
AUUGAACGCUGGCGGCAGGCCUAACACAUGCAAGUCGAGCGACGGGCGGACGGGUGAGGAAUGUAUGGGGACUGCCCGAUAGAGGGGGCGAACUACUGGAGACGGUAGCUCCUACCGCAUCCUAUCGGAUAACCCAGAUGGGAUUAGCUAGUAGGUGAGGUAAUGGCUAACCUAGGCGACGAUCCCUAGCUGGUCUGAGAGGAUGAUCAGCCACACUGGGACUGAGACACGGCCCAGACUCCUACGGAGGCAGCAGUGGGGAAUAUUGGACAAUGGGCGCAAGCCUGAUGCAGCCAUGCCGCGUGUAUGAAGAAGGUCCUAGGGUUGUAAAGUACUUUCAGUCGGGAGGCGUUACCGACAGAAGAAGCACCGGCUAACUCCGUGCCAGCAGCCGCGGUAAUUC